UUGCUCAAUCUGGUGCUGUUGUACUGGUUGAUGCACCACUAACGGGCAGAAUCCGCCGGCUCUCUGUGUAAACGCCCAGUUAAACUGGGGCUAUAGGGACUUGGCACAGCUGCUGCAUUAGCUUUGCCAACACCCCACAUAUAGCCGCUCCUUCAACGACGAAGGGCCGAGCUUCCCGAGAGAACGGGACCAGGACAAAGGCGUCCUCGCUAGCUGACUAGCGGGGAUGCC
RNAcentral lists this small RNA (231 nucleotides) under Pseudomonas fluorescens A506. RNAcentral's name for it is "sRNA P11". The stretch from base 90 to 231 matches the Rfam family "Pseudomonas sRNA P11". Rfam says of the family: P11 is located between a putative threonine protein kinase and putative nitrate reductase and appears to be conserved in several Pseudomonas species. P11 has a predicted Rho independent terminator at the 3'end but the function of P11 is unknown. The record is from RNAcentral. Lineage: Bacteria; Pseudomonadati; Pseudomonadota; Gammaproteobacteria; Pseudomonadales; Pseudomonadaceae.